AAGUUUUAUAUGAUCGCGAGUCAAAGGGCAGUACGAAACCCCAGGGCGUAAUUAAUGUAAAGGUCUGCUUUAGUAGGCUGAGAUGUGACCUGACUUUAAUAUAUCAGUGCAAAAUCGACCCGUCUGAAGAUGUUCGCAUCUGGGCGGAGUUUGAGCGAUCAUGUAGAGACCCCAAAGAUGGUGAACUAUGCUUGUGCAGGUUGAAGUCAGAGGAAACUCUGAUGGAGGACCGCCGCGGUUCUGACGUGCAAAUCGAUCGUCGGACAUGAGUAUAGGGGCGAAAGACUAAUCGAACCAUCUAGUAGCUGGUUCCCUCCGAAGUUUCCCUCAGGAUAGCUGGCAUUUGUUGUCGUAGUUUUACCUGGUAAAGCGAAUGAUUAGAAGUAUUGGGGGCGAAAUGCCUUCAACUUAUUCUCAAACUUUAAAUGGGUUCGAUGUGUAGCUCGCUUCAUUGGAGUUGCACGUUGAAUACGAAUGCCUAGUGGGCCAUUUUUGGUAAGCAGAACUGGCGAUGUGGGAUGAACCAAACAUCUGGUUAAGGUGCCUAACACCACGCUCAUGAGAACCCACAAAAGGUGUUGGUUGAUAAAGACAGCAGGACGGUGGACAUGGAAGUCGUCAUCCGCUAAGGAGUGUGUGACAACUCACAUGCAGAAUCAACCAGCCCUGAAMAUGGAUGGCGCUGUAGCGUGGGACAUAUACCGGAUCGGUAUCGUAAKUGGCUGUCUCAAGACGGCUGUGAGUAAACGGUACCGUGUAGGAGGGUGCCGUGGUUGCAAAGAAGMUACUGGCGUGAGUCAGAGUGGAGCGGUCACGGGUACAGAUCUUGGUAGUAGUAGCAAUUAUUCAAGUGAGUCCUUGA
This 862-nucleotide ribosomal RNA is filed under the name Geoplana sp. RNAcentral describes it as "eukaryotic LSU rRNA". It matches the Rfam family "Eukaryotic large subunit ribosomal RNA", at positions 671 to 1487 of the family's 3401-position model. Lineage: Eukaryota; Metazoa; Platyhelminthes; Tricladida; Geoplanidae. The record is from RNAcentral.